ACGCUCGACACCUACGGGAGGCAGCAGUGGGGAAUAUUGGGCAAUGGGCGCAAGCCUGACCCAGCAACGCCGCGUGAAGGAAGAAGGCUUUCGGGUUGUAAACUUCUUUUAUUAAGGACGAAGCAAUGACGGUACUUAAUGAAUAAGCUCCGGCUAACUACGUGCCAACAGCCGCGGUAAUCUGAGCGGGCUGGCAAGGC
This 200-nucleotide ribosomal RNA is filed under the name uncultured bacterium. Its description in RNAcentral is "partial 16S ribosomal RNA". It matches the Rfam family "Bacterial small subunit ribosomal RNA", at positions 328 to 539 of the family's 1533-position model. The record is from RNAcentral.